RNAcentral lists this ribosomal RNA (402 nucleotides) under uncultured bacterium. RNAcentral's name for it is "bacterial SSU rRNA". It matches the Rfam family "Bacterial small subunit ribosomal RNA", at positions 54 to 444 of the family's 1533-position model. The record is from RNAcentral.
CAUGCAAGUCGAGGGGAAACGACAUCGAAAGCUUGCUUUUGAUGGGCGUCGACCGGCGCACGGGUGAGUAACGCGUAUCCAACCUGCCCACCACUUGGGGAUAACCUUGCGAAAGUAAGACUAAUACCCAAUGAUAUCUCUAGAAGACAUCUGAAAGAGAUUAAAGAUUUAUCGGUGAUGGAUGGGGAUGCGUCUGAUUAGCUUGUUGGCGGGGUAACGGCCCACCAAGGCGACGAUCAGUAGGGGUUCUGAGAGGAAGGUCCCCCACAUUGGAACUGAGACACGGUCCAAACUCCUACGGGAGGCAGCAGUGAGGAAUAUUGGUCAAUGGACGAGAGUCUGAACCAGCCAAGUAGCGUGCAGGAAGACGGCCCUAUGGGUUGUAAACUGCUUUUAUAAGGG